RNAcentral lists this ribosomal RNA (1161 nucleotides) under uncultured bacterium. RNAcentral describes it as "bacterial SSU rRNA". It matches the Rfam family "Bacterial small subunit ribosomal RNA", at positions 38 to 1165 of the family's 1533-position model. The record is from RNAcentral.
GGAGGCGGCUGCUAUACAUGCAGUCGAACGCUUCUUUUUCCACCGGAGCUUGCUCCACCGGAAAAAGAGGAGUGGCGAACGGGUGAGUAACACGUGGGUAACCUGCCCAUCAGAAGGGGAUAACACUUGGAAACAGGUGCUAAUACCGUAUAACAAUCGAACCGCAUGGUUUUGAUUUGAAAGGCGCUUUCGGGUGUCGCUGAUGGAUGGACCCGCGGUGCAUUAGCUAGUUGGUGAGGUAACGGCUCACCAAGGCCACGAUGCAUAGCCGACCUGAGAGGGUGAUCGGCCACAUUGGGACUGAGACACGGCCCAAACUCCUACGGGAGGCAGCAGUAGGGAAUCUUCGGCAAUGGACGAAAGUCUGACCGAGCAACGCCGCGUGAGUGAAGAAGGUUUUCGGAUCGUAAAACUCUGUUGUUAGAGAAGAACAAGGAUGAGAGUAACUGUUCAUCCCUUGACGGUAUCUAACCAGAAAGCCACGGCUAACUACGUGCCAGCAGCCGCGGUAAUACGUAGGUGGCAAGCGUUGUCCGGAUUUAUUGGGCGUAAAGCGAGCGCAGGCGGUUUCUUAAGUCUGAUGUGAAAGCCCCCGGCUCAACCGGGGAGGGUCAUUGGAAACUGGGAGACUUGAGUGCAGAAGAGGAGAGUGGAAUUCCAUGUGUAGCGGUGAAAUGCGUAGAUAUAUGGAGGAACACCAGUGGCGAAGGCGGCUCUCUGGUCUGUAACUGACGCUGAGGCUCGAAAGCGUGGGGAGCAAGCAGGGUUAGAUACCCUGGUAGUCCACGCCGUAAACGAUGAGUGCUAAGUGUUGGAGGGUUUCCGCCCUUCAGUGCUGCAGCUAACGCAUUAAGCACUCCGCCUGGGGAGUACGACCGCAAGGUUGAAACUCAAAGGAAUUGACGGGGGCCCGCACAAGCGGUGGAGCAUGUGGUUUAAUUCGAAGCAACGCGAGAACCUUACCAGGUCUUGACAUCCUUUGACCACUCUAGAGAUAGAGCUUCCCCUUCGGGGGCAAAGUGACAGGGGGUGCAUGGGUUGUCGUCAGCUCGUGUCGUGAGAAUGUUGGGUUAAGUCCCCGCAACGAGCGCCACCCUUAUUGGUUAGUUGCCAUUCAUUCAGUUGGGGCACUUCUUAGCAAGAGCUGCGCGGGUGGACGAC